RNAcentral lists this non-coding RNA (77 nucleotides) under Leptosomus discolor (cuckoo roller). Lineage: Eukaryota; Metazoa; Chordata; Aves; Leptosomiformes; Leptosomidae. The record is from RNAcentral.
AUUGGCUGUUAUCUGCAGCUGAUGAGCUUCAAAAAGAGUGAAACCCCUUAGGUUCUGUAGUACUGGCCUGUAAGUCU